GGAAAGGACGAGUCCGUGGUGUUGCGCUACGAGAAGCAACGCGAUGAAUUGUCUCGCCUGGAGCGGGUACUCGGUGAGCGUCGCGACAUGCGCGAUUGAACCUUGGCGCUAGUCGAUGACCAGCGCGGCCGCUACAUCAACGUGCUCAAGGGCACAGCCGGCGC
This 164-nucleotide unclassified non-coding RNA is filed under the name plant metagenome. RNAcentral describes it as "partial contains 5.8S ribosomal RNA, internal transcribed spacer 2, and large subunit ribosomal RNA". The record is from RNAcentral.